RNAcentral lists this transfer RNA (54 nucleotides) under Amphitetranychus viennensis (hawthorn spider mite). RNAcentral's name for it is "tRNA-Trp". Lineage: Eukaryota; Metazoa; Arthropoda; Arachnida; Trombidiformes; Tetranychidae. The record is from RNAcentral.
CUAAAUUUAAGUUAUUUAAACUAAUUACUUUCAAAGUAAUAAAAUUAAUUUAGA